GCUUAGUCACAUAGAGCAGUCCAAAUAUAAAUUGUCCUCUUCCUCCACACUUUGAGCUAAAAAGCAAUAGUAAACACAUCUUUUUGCUGCUAUAUUUCAGUGAAUCAGAAAAAAAAUCAGAAAAUGAGUUUCUUGUCAUCUUCCUCUGUCAAUAUGGACAAAGAUUAUUGAUUAAAGAAACACACUUUUUUAUAUACAUUUUUAUCCUGUUUCAACAAGUUUUGUGCAUCAUAUUUUUAUCAAAGAGUUGUGAAAUUACUCCAAGAUUUCAAUUGCAAUGUCUUCUGAACUUUUUGUAUUUGAUAACACUUUCUUUGCUGACCCUUUUUCUCCUUCUUUCAUUGAUCAACACCAUGAUAAUAAUAUCUUCCAAGACCAAAACUUUACCAUGCCAACCAACUGUUUAAUUCAAGAAACACCAAUUGAUGACCAAAUUGCUUCAGCUUUUCUCUCAUCUUCACCUCCAAGUCAUCAACUUGAAAAUCUUUCACUAUGUCAAGUUGGUUUAGAUGGAUUUGGUGAUUACUCUAUUAAAUCAGAGGACUUUCAAGUCAAUUUUGAGUCUGAUUUUGGUUCUAGUAACACUUUAAUGGUGCCUCAAAGUUGUGCAGAGAAUCAUGAUGUGAAGUUGAUGCAGAGGAGUUUUAGUAGCAAUUCAUUUGAUAAUAAUAAACCAAGUUUCUCCAUUUUUACACCUCAGUUUGAUAGUUUAAUUGAGUCUCCAAAUUUCCAAACACCCGCACUUAGCUCCCCUGAUGAAAACAGCUUUUCUACAGGUCAAAUGAGAAGGGUUUGCAGCACUGGUGACUUGCAAAAGAUGAAGACAAGUCAAACAAGAAACACUUUAUCUUCAAGUCCAUUAUCAGGAGAAAGAACAUUCAUAGAAGAAGCAGCAAAUAUCAAAGUGGGGCGUUAUAGUGCUGAAGAAAGAAAAGAGAGGAUUCAUAGGUACAGAGCAAAAAGAACCCAAAGAAAUUUUAACAAGACCAUUAAGUAUGCAUGUCGGAAAACACUAGCCGACAAUCGUCCAAGGAUACGUGGCAGAUUUGCACGUAAUGAUGAAGCUGGUAUAGAGAUUCCAAAAACUACAAUGUUUAAUAGAUUUGAAGAUGAAGAUGAUCUUUGGUGGCUGAUUCAACAAUGAACUCUCGAGUUUAGCAGAAUUCACUACUUUUGAAUCGAAUCCUAUAAAAAGAAAUUGAGGGAGUUCAUGAAGAGGAAGAAAAUCAAGGCUCAAUAGGGAGAACACAAUUCUAUCACAACUUUGGUUCAAUGACACAGUAUCAUCAACAAUAUUCAAGCCACUGAGUUGGGUCGUGAUGAGAGAUUUGUUUUAUAAUUAAGUGGUUAAAGUUUGGAUUAAUUACCUUGACUAAUGACCGUGCAAAUUAAGGACUAUAUUAGCACAUGGGAGCAAAGAUAAGGCAGAUGGUAGCUUUGCUUUAUGAAUAAGUUAAUUAGGUGCUCUUGCAAGUGCUACAAUUUAUAUGUCUAUGGAAGGAGUAGACUAGCUAGUAUUGAGAAGAAACUGUUUUUCUCUCUUUUUUAAAAUUUUACUUAGAGGCUUAAUUACGGGGCCAUGUACAACUUAUUGUCCUCUAUUUUAUUAAAAUUAAGAUUACUAUCAACUGAAUCUGUAAAUAAAUAUGGUUGUUUUAUUUA
RNA transcript from Lycium ferocissimum, 1662 nucleotides. It is a transcript of the gene named zinc finger protein CONSTANS-LIKE 1-like, with no coding region annotated. The transcript is spliced from 5 exons. The record is from RefSeq and is a predicted model, not a curated record. Lineage: Eukaryota; Viridiplantae; Streptophyta; Magnoliopsida; Solanales; Solanaceae.